AAAUAAAUAUACUGUCCAUCCAGAGGUGAAGAACUAAAUAUGCUGUCCAUCCAGAGGUGAGAACUAAAUAUGCUGUCUAUCCAGAGGUGAAAAUAUAAAAUAAAUAUACUGUCCAUCCAGAGGUGAGAACUAAAUAUGCUGUCUAUCCAGAGGUGAAAAUAUAAAAUAAAUAUAUCUCAAUCCAGAGG
Cyprinus carpio (common carp) is the source of this 188-nucleotide long non-coding RNA. RefSeq lists it as uncharacterized. The record is from RefSeq and is a predicted model, not a curated record. The transcript is spliced from 2 exons. NCBI's taxonomy places the organism in Eukaryota, Metazoa, Chordata, Actinopteri, Cypriniformes, Cyprinidae.